RNAcentral lists this ribosomal RNA (1545 nucleotides) under Triticum aestivum (bread wheat). Its description in RNAcentral is "partial small subunit ribosomal RNA". Lineage: Eukaryota; Viridiplantae; Streptophyta; Magnoliopsida; Poales; Poaceae. The record is from RNAcentral.
AUGCGCCUCCCGCUCCUCCUCCUCGCCCUGCUCGCCGCGGCGGCGUCGGCGCCGGCCGCCGCGGCGACGCUCUCGACGAGGAUGGUGCACCGGCUCUCCGACGAGGCGCGUGUGGCGGCGGGGCCCCACGGGGCGGCGCGGUGGCCGCCGCACGGGAGCGGGGGCUACUACCGCGCGCUGGUGCGGAGCGACCUCCAGCGGCAGAAGCGCAAGCACCAGCUCCUCUCCGUCUCGGAAGCCGGCGGCAUCUUCUCCCCCGGCAACGAUUUCGGCUGGUUGUAUUACACAUGGGUGGAUGUCGGGACGCCGAACACUUCCUUUAUGGUCGCAUUGGAUACUGGAAGUGAUCUGUUCUGGGUACCCUGUGAUUGUAUCGAGUGUGCUCCAUUGGCUGGCUACCGUGAAACUUUGGAUAGAGAUCUCGGGAUUUACAAACCAGCUGAAUCAACAACGAGUCGGCAUUUGCCCUGCAGCCAUGAGCUUUGCUCAUCAGGUUCAGGCUGUUCAAGCCCAAAGCAGCCUUGCCCAUACAGCACUGACUAUCUUCAAGAAAACACAACCAGCUCAGGUUUACUAAUUGAGGAUGUUCUACACUUGAACUCCAGAGAGAGCCAUGCACCAGUGAAGGCUUCAGUCAUUAUAGGUUGUGGUAGGAAGCAAAGUGGUAGCUAUUUGGAUGGUAUUGCACCAGAUGGACUUCUUGGCCUUGGGAUGGCAGAUAUCUCAGUUCCUAGCUUCCUUGCAAGAGCUGGAUUAGUUCGAAAUUCCUUUUCGAUGUGUUUCAAGGAAUAUUCUGGGAGAAUUUUCUUUGGUGAUCAAGGAGUGUCUACCCAACAGUCGACGCCAUUUGUUCCUUUAUAUGGCAAAUUUCAAACUUAUGCUGUUAAUGUCGACAAAUCUUGUGUUGGCCACAAAUGUUUUGAGGGUACUAACUUCGAGGCCAUAGUUGAUAGUGGAACAUCAUUCACAGCUCUUCCCCUGAAUGUUUACAAGGCUGUCACUGUCGAGUUUGACAAACAAGUUAAUGCCUCAAGAAUAACCCAGGAAGAUGAUUCUUUUGAAUACUGCUACAGUGCCAGUCCUCUGGAGAUGCCUGACGUGCCAACUGUAACUCUUAAUUUAUCUGCAAACAAGAGCUUUCAGGUCGUUAAUCCUACAAUUGUACGCAAGAACGGAGAGGGAUCGAUUGCUGGCUUUUGCUUAGCUGUUCAGAAGUCACCAGAGCCUAUUGGAAUCAUUGGACAGAACUUCCUGACUGGAUACCACAUUGUUUUUGACAAAGAGAACAUGAAGCUGGGCUGGUACCGGUCUGAGUGCCAUGAUCUUGACAACAGCACGACGGUGCCCUUGGGCCCGUCGCAGCACCACAGCCCGGGGGAUCCGCUGCCGUCGAGCGAGCAGCAGACCUCUCCCACCGUGACGCCUCCUGCCGUCGCAGGCAAGGCGCCGACCUCCUCGAGCGGGCCGUCGAACUUACAUAAGCUACUCGCCAACUGUUGCUGGCUGCUGUUUCUGACCAUCUCCACCGUGUUCUUCAUCUCAUGA